Sardina pilchardus (European sardine) is the source of this 3090-nucleotide long non-coding RNA. RefSeq lists it as uncharacterized. The transcript has 3 exons. The record is from RefSeq and is a predicted model, not a curated record. Lineage: Eukaryota; Metazoa; Chordata; Actinopteri; Clupeiformes; Clupeidae.
UGUUAAAUUGAAUUAUAUGAUGCAUUCUUUUUCUCAGAUGAAUCAUUUACAUAAUUUACAUUAUUUACUAUCCUGCAUAGUACUGCUUAUAACUACGUAGUGCUGCAUAGCACUACACAACACAAUACUUCUACUUCAUACAACCCUAAUUUCAAAAACAUAAAUGCAGUUAAAAUGUCUGUUAAUUUUAUUGUGUAGAAGUGUGUUAACAUUACACAUUCACUUCCAAUUGAUUACAGCUUAGUCUCAACUCCCCUCCAUUAUGCUGUACAGAUUUAUAUAUCUGGUGUUCAUCUUUUUAGGUGUCUUGUGGGUAUUAAUCCUGAGAGGGGGACAAAGGCAAAUGGCAAGAAAACAAGAAGCACCCCUCCUCAGGUUUCCAUGUGCUCCGAAAACUGAUGGACUGUUGUUAUGCCCUCGUCUGAAAAUGACGGUGUGCUCGAUGGGAGAGGUCAGAGAUGAUGUUCACGGCGUUCUUGGAAAGAAAAAAAAGGCAGACUACAGCCAACGAUUUUAGAGGCCCUGUGUACUACCCUCUCAAGCCGUUGUUUGUCCUGGCUGGUGGUGGCACUACCAUACCAUGCCAGAGCAGGAUGGAGAAGAAAAGCCCAAGGACUCAGAACAUGAAGCCAAAGAAGUAGAUGAUGACUCGGUCCAGACAUACCAAAUGGAAAAGCCCUUAAACAAAAGUAAUCAACCCUACUGGAGAUGAAUGCGAAAUUCUAAAUCAAGUUUUAACAUUAGAUUUCUAAGUUUCCAAAGGAUAGGUCAAGCAGAAGUAGUGCGAAAGGUGUCCUACUUGCUUCGGUAGGAGGGGGAACGUAUACUCUAAUAAACGUUUUAGUCUUGCACCAAAUCGUCAAGGUACUCAUGGCUGUCAGUUAGCGGUAUAACAAUAUUUUAACACAAUUUUUAAGAAAUCUUAAGUGAUGAAAUAUAUUGCUCUACGCUCUAUAGGGCUGCUCGAUUAUUGUAAAAAUCAUUAUCACGAUUAUUUUGUUCAAUAUUGAGAUCACGAUUAUUAGACGUGAUUACUCAGUGAUUUUGGAACUAUCAUCCAUAUUCAAAAUGCAUUUUUUUUUAAAAAUGUUUAAUAGAAUUUUAAAUAUAAUCCAACAGGAAAAAAUACAUGUGAAAAGAUAAUGCACACGACAACUUGAGACAAAAGGAGAGCAUUGUAAUGAAACUGAAACUGAAUGAUUAUAUUUUGAUUAUGCUAUUUUCAUAAUUGUUUAAUUUGAGUUAUUUCACAUUAGGUUUCAGAGAAUUGCUGUACUACUUUAAGAGUAUUAUUUUUAUUUAUGUGGUGAUGAUGAUGCCUCCCUUCCUUCAGAUGGAGGCUGCUGAGGCAGUUCAUCAAUACAACACACACAAACACACAAAUAACGUGGACAUAAGGCAUACCAUGCUUAACUCAUUAAUUAAAAUGUAUUAAUGAAGUGUUAUUUGGAUAAGAUCGUACCAAUGUAGUAAUGAAAUAUGUAUCUACUCAUGAUGAAGGGAAGGUAUUGCUACAACAUGUAAAGGUGAAUAUCUCUUGUAGCCUAUCACUGAGAUGUGUUUAUAGUCAGAAGUUGCAGAGCAUCUUCAAAAGUAUGGACACCCAUAGGCUCCAUGAUCUUGGCAAAUUUGAGCUGGUUUACUGAGAUGUUGUACACACUUCAAGAGUGUGCAAUAAAAUUGUAUUAAUUAACUGUCAUUGAGUCCAUUUUCUUGUCUCAACUCAACAAGUUAAGACUGCCUUACACUGAUACGAUUUGGGAAAUAUUGUCUUUUAAUGCAUCUCUUUCAAGCUUUGCUCAAAAGACUACAAUCUUUCAAUAAUCUUUCCCAAAUCUUGUCAAUGUAAGGUAGGUUUUAGUUCAUUUUGCGAUGCAGGGUGCCAGAGGUGUGGUGGUAAAAUGAGGUGGGUAAACUAUGAAUUCUCAUGGAAAGGUGGGCUAUGCCAUGUGGGAGGCUCAGAUUUUCAUAAAGGCUUUCAGAACAUGUGUGAUGAAGGUUAUUGUUCGAUGUUUAUAACAAUACCAGUGGUUACAUGAUUCAUAAAAUAUAUGAAUGUAUAUUGUUAAUGUGGAUAACACUGUGAUUUUUUAAUGUGAAAAGUUGCAAUUGGUGAAUAAACUCUUGAGAGGUAGAUAAACAAUAACAGGUGGAUAAACUAUUUCUGAAACUGGAUAAACUACGUUUACUUGCGUUUAGCUUCCACGACAUCGCUUUAAUGUUAUGAUCGGUUAUUCCGAUUAGUUUAGCUAGCUAACAAGAACACAUUUAACAUGAUGGGAAAUCAGUCCUUUAUUUUAAAUAAUCGCCUACCUCGCUAUUUAUUUUUACAUCAUCGUUACACGACGUCGUAGUAGACAUUUAUACAUGUUGAGUCGACUAACUAUCCACAUCCUCGUUGUUUACAUGGACGCUACCUCGGUGUUGAGAAAGGUAGCCUAAAAUGACAGUCGUUUUACUCCCAACAUUCGAUUUUGACGGAUUUUUCAAGUGCGCUUGCGCGGUAGCUCAUCUCGACAAGUAGCUCAGAUUGACAGAACACCCGGCUUAAGUGAUCAAGGGUCAUGCCAGGUCACAGGCAGACUAUGUUAAAGUAAUGGUGAUCAGUGGUGUUUGAUGUCCACCUGUUUUUGCUGGGUCCUUCCCUGUCCGUCACCUGGAGUAGGAGGUUCCUGGGUGUCCCUUCCCACUAACAUACGUGUAAGGCUCACCUCUCCUUAGACUUCAAGUGUGUCACUGUCUUGGUUGCGUCAUGGGGUUUCCGUUUAAGGAUCCAUUCAGGCACAUUCUAUCCAGUCAAAGGAAAGCUUCUCAACUAUUUCCACCACAAGACCAAAUGGCUUACCAAUUUACAUACCAAAAAGUGUUUUUUUUUGUUGUUGUUUUGUUUUGUUUUUUGUUCUCCCAUUUCUGUGAAUUUAUAAAUGGGUAAGGAAAUGGCUGCCUGAUAGUUGGCCAGUAUUAGACCGGGAUGAGGUGAACCCGUCUGAUUUGUUGGUGUGGGUCUGAAUGGCUUUUGGUGCUUUGGGAAUUGGAAAUGUCUCCUACCUUUUGAGCAACAGCCCCUGAAGCCAAACCUGUAACCUGUAU